RNAcentral lists this ribosomal RNA (465 nucleotides) under uncultured bacterium. RNAcentral describes it as "partial 16S ribosomal RNA". It matches the Rfam family "Bacterial small subunit ribosomal RNA", at positions 28 to 507 of the family's 1533-position model. The record is from RNAcentral.
GACGAACGCUGGCGGCGUGCUUAACACAUGCAAGUCGUACGGUGAGGCCCUUUCGGGGGUACACGAGUGGCGAACGGGUGAGUAACACGUGAGUAACCUGCCCACAACUUUGGGAUAACGCUAGGAAACUGGUGCUAAUACUGGAUAUGUGCUCCUGCUGCAUGGUGGGGGUUGGAAAGCUCCGGCGGUUGUGGAUGGACUCGCGGCCUAUCAGCUUGUUGGUGGGGUAGUGGCCUACCAAGGCGGCGACGGGUAGCCGGCCUGAGAGGGUGACCGGCCACAUUGGGACUGAGAUACGGCCCAGACUCCUACGGGAGGCAGCAGUGGGGAAUAUUGCACAAUGGGCGCAAGCCUGAUGCAGCAACGCCGCGUGCGGGAGGACGGACUUCGGGUUGUAAACCGCUUUCAGCAGGGACGAAGCUUUUUGUGACGGUACCUGCAGAAGAAGCACCGGCUAACUACGUG